UGCCAUUUUUUUUUUCAAAAUAUCAAAUC
Molecule: non-coding RNA, 29 nt
Filed under: Mus musculus (house mouse)
Lineage: Eukaryota; Metazoa; Chordata; Mammalia; Rodentia; Muridae
Source: RNAcentral